Molecule: transfer RNA, 60 nt
Filed under: Japyx solifugus
Lineage: Eukaryota; Metazoa; Arthropoda; Diplura; Dicellurata; Japygidae
Description: tRNA-Gln
Source: RNAcentral
UAUAAAUUGGUGUAAAGUGCACAAUAGUUUUUGAUACUGUUUGUAUUGGUGUAAUUCCAU